Molecule: long non-coding RNA, 261 nt
Filed under: Medicago truncatula (barrel medic)
Lineage: Eukaryota; Viridiplantae; Streptophyta; Magnoliopsida; Fabales; Fabaceae
Description: lncRNA gene30061
Source: RNAcentral
CCCCCAUAGAGUUCAAACUCAGUCUAUGCUUCAUACAACAUUCAGAAUUGUGUCAACAUGAUACAUCACACGUGUAUAUGCGACUAGUUUUCUAUGCAUACUUUCUCGAGGCUUGACUUGCGUUCCCUAUUUAUAUUUGCACCACCGCCCCGUUUUCCACUACCGGGAAAGUUUAUGAUGUUUCCGCCGCCGCCUCCAUUUGUGUUUCCACCAGGCUUAUACCAGAUUCCGAAUCCGCUUGGCCAUACUCCAUAACCAUCA